RNAcentral lists this ribosomal RNA (253 nucleotides) under uncultured bacterium. Its description in RNAcentral is "partial 16S ribosomal RNA". It matches the Rfam family "Bacterial small subunit ribosomal RNA", at positions 524 to 776 of the family's 1533-position model. The record is from RNAcentral.
UACGUAGGGGGCAAGCGUUGUCCGGAUUCAUUGGGCGUAAAGCGCGUGUAGGCGGUCAGGUAGGUCCGAUGUGAAAACUGGAGGCUCAACCUCCAGCUGUCAUCGGAAACCCCCUGGCUAGAGUCCGGGAGAGGAGAGUGGAAUUCCUGGUGUAGCGGUGAAAUGCGCAGAUAUCAGGAGGAACACCAAUGGCGAAGGCAGCUCUCUGGAACGGUACUGACGCUGAGACGCGAAAGCGUGGGGAGCGAACAGG